GAGUGACACCUGCCUGAGACAACGCCAAGUGUAAACAGAGUCAAGUGAAGGAAGGCGACGGUCACUAAGGUACUGUUAACAGGUCACUAAGGUACUGUUAACAGGUCACUAAGGUUGAGGAGCUAACUAUCAAGCACCAGCUGAGUCGUAUACAAGAUGUUGAGUUAAGGUCGCAAAACAACACAUCGCAAGAAGCAGUCAUGGAAGAUCCAUUACAACUUCCUGAUAUGUCACUCAUGAUGAAUGACCAGCACCCUAAUACAAACCAGAUGAUGGUCAUCAUGAAUGAACUUCACAUUAACAAGAGUGCCCUGAAUUUGGAGGCUGCUCCACUGAUUCAAAGAAUGCUGCAUGACUCUGAGGUAUAUGAAGAAGAGGAAGAAGAUGAAAAGGAGAAGGUUGACGUUUUUGAAGAAUGAGGAAUAUGAUAAUUUAUUACAAAAUUUACCUGUAAGUGCAGGGUAUUUGAAAUUAGUAACUUUCUAGACUCAUAUAUUGUAAUUGAUGAUGCUGUACAUAAUUUUUGGGGGUGUUUUAUGUUAGGCCUCCAGAGUCAUGUUCAUUUUAUUUAGUGUUUUGUAUGUUAUUCACAUAGAAGUUGUAUAUUGUUAAUCUGCCUAUAUUCCCUCUCCUGGCUACUGUGGAGUAAGCAUGCAGUGUUGGCACAUGGCAUGAUAAAGAUAUCACCCUUGGGGGAACUGUUGAGCAAGGUCACCCUCACCUUUGUUGCAACAGUAGCAAGGUGUAGUCUAUAUAUCCUGUGUUAACCUUGACUCUUAUUUCAGAGUGUGUCCUAAUUAAUUAGUCAAAGGAGUGAGGCACUGCUUGAUUAAGACAUUCUAACAAUAGUGGGACUGUGACAUGUUUUAUUAUUUAGACAAAGUUAGACAAAGUAAUUUGUAAAAGAAUUGCCAUUGAUGCUACCUACAGUAUAUGUUUUAUUGUUCUUUAGAUACUUAGUAAUUUUAUAAUAAAUUGUCAUUGACACCACUUAAUGUUGUUUUAGAUACUCAAAAUAUUAAAUUGAAAAAAAAAUUAACCCUGUAAUGCCUGAAUCAUUUUGUAGCAUCCCAAAAAAUAUUGGGUUCUAUAAUCUGCAUCUACCCACGUGGUGGCAAAAAUAAAUAAACACUUCUGAA
RNAcentral lists this unclassified non-coding RNA (1139 nucleotides) under Homarus americanus (American lobster). RNAcentral describes it as "uncharacterized LOC121858791, transcript variant X3". The record is from RNAcentral. Lineage: Eukaryota; Metazoa; Arthropoda; Malacostraca; Decapoda; Nephropidae.